UUUGAUUGAUAUAACAAUACUUACACAACUAGUUUUGACAUCCAAACUAAUCAUUCUUUUUUUUUCUAGACAAUUCCUUGAAGGGGUCAUUACAUCUGGUGUAGAACAACUUUGCCACACUAAGUAGGAUCUCUUCUACAGUUAAUGUUUUACACACAAGGAUGCAGACACCUCGACCUUCAAACUUCAAGCCAAUUCAAGGCCAGUUGGUAAAUUGGAAUACUUUGAA
Molecule: unclassified non-coding RNA, 229 nt
Filed under: Hevea brasiliensis (rubber tree)
Lineage: Eukaryota; Viridiplantae; Streptophyta; Magnoliopsida; Malpighiales; Euphorbiaceae
Source: RNAcentral